Molecule: ribosomal RNA, 429 nt
Filed under: Chloroflexota bacterium
Lineage: Bacteria; Bacillati; Chloroflexota
Description: Chloroflexi bacterium partial 16S ribosomal RNA
Rfam family: Bacterial small subunit ribosomal RNA
Source: RNAcentral
UGGGGAAUAUUGCACAAUGGGCGCAAGCCUGAUGCAGCCAUGCCGCGUGUGUGAAGAAGGCCUUCGGGUUGUAAAGCACUUUCAGCGGGGAGGAAGGCGUUAAGGUUAAUAACCUUGGCAAUUGACGUUACCCGCAGAAGAAGCACCGGCUAACUCCGUGCCAGCAGCCGCGGUAAUACGGAGGGUGCAAGCGUUAAUCGGAAUUACUGGGCGUAAAGCGCACGCAGGCGGUCUGUCAAGUCGGAUGUGAAAUCCCCGGGCUCAACCUGGGAACUGCAUUCGAAACUGGCAGGCUAGAGUCUUGUAGAGGGGGGUAGAAUUCCAGGUGUAGCGGUGAAAUGCGUAGAGAUCUGGAGGAAUACCGGUGGCGAAGGCGGCCCCCUGGACAAAGACUGACGCUCAGGUGCGAAAGCGUGGGGAGCAAACAGG